UUGUUUUUAAUCUCUCUGAUUGUCACAGGUACAUUUUCAUGCAUUUUUCUUGUGCAUAGCUCGUUGUUUGCUAAGGGUGCAAAGGACGGAAGUCAGUCCCAUGCCAUUUCGGAGGGACUCUGAGUUUUAGAGAUUGCUGUAAAGCUGGAUACAUUUUUGUGUGCAUCGCGGAGGUUGGAUUGCAUAUAGCAUAUUUUAUUCAUAGUUAAGAUAGUGGGUCAUGGGUAUUUGAUUUGAUUUCAUUCGAUUUAUUUCUCAAGGAAAAUAAUGGGAAAUUAUUUUGGGUCACAUCACCAUUUGCAAUGGUGUGUGUGGUUUGCUUUAGACUGUGGUUGUUUCAGCUGUAAAACUUUCAUGGUUUCAAAGAUAGCAGACUUUUAUUCUUCUUUACAUGUCAUUUUUCAUGCUUCACUGCCUUAUGGUUAUGUUGCAUUUCCCUUUUCCUUCAUUUUUGUUGAAACAAUUAUGGCGUCGACAGAAAAUGUAGUUGACGGAUCUGUUGCUCUGCUAUGCUAACUCAUGGUGAUGUUCCCUACCUGACCAUGGAGAUGGUAAAAAGCUAGUGAGUUCUAUUUCCCAACUCCCUUCUUUGACUCUGCUUCUUUAGUCCUUUCGGAGUUUUGAGUUUAGAACACUGAUAUGUUUCAUAAGCAGGAUUAGGACCGUUAGGAUUGCACUUGUUGAGUGUUUAACACGGAACGAUAUGGUUAUUCUCUUUCGCACACAAUUGCGAGUAUCCAAACGACAAUUCGUGAAACUAUACCAGAGAGCGAC
This 774-nucleotide long non-coding RNA is filed under the name Eucalyptus grandis. RNAcentral's name for it is "long non-coding RNA (EGRA_LNC007831)". Lineage: Eukaryota; Viridiplantae; Streptophyta; Magnoliopsida; Myrtales; Myrtaceae. The record is from RNAcentral.